This 414-nucleotide long non-coding RNA is filed under the name Phoenix dactylifera (date palm). Its description in RNAcentral is "long non-coding RNA (PDAC_LNC013123)". The record is from RNAcentral. Lineage: Eukaryota; Viridiplantae; Streptophyta; Magnoliopsida; Arecales; Arecaceae.
AUGCCAGAGAGCUUGAACAACCACAUAAAAUUAAGCAUCAUGAGUAGGUGAAUAUAGCUUCUCAAUGAAGAAUGUUAUGUGCCUUCCUUCUUGACUGAGAAUAUAUAGGUCCAACUUCCUUUGAAGAAGCAUCACACUCCACCACAAAACUUCAUUGAAAUUAGGAAGAGCUAAAGACUAGUGUGGCUCAAAUCUCUUGAUUUUGAUUUUGUCCAAGCUCGCCGGCCUUCGGGUGUCCAUUGGAAAGACUUUCCGUUCGAACAAUCAAUGGUUGGUGCCAUCAAACUGCGAAAUCCUCGAAACUGUGGUGCCAUGCAUCCAUGGCAACUACAUAUCACCGAACUUCUUCGAAAUACUUUUACUCAAUCGAAAACAAUACCAAACAUCCACUAUCUAUGGUUAUAUCACUUCCGU